CUUCGACAGAAUUCUGCAACUAGAUCUGCAUGGCCGCAGGCAGAGCAAUUUGUCAUGUUCGAAUUCGUUUGAUCCCAGCUUGAGCACGCAGAAACGAAUCGCAAUUCCCAACGAACGAAUUCAAAUCCGACGAGGACGUCUGCCGAAGACGAUCUCGACAGAAAGGGAAGGCGCAAUGAAGAGGAAGUUGGUUGGUGAACAAGGAGAGACAGCCAGAGAGGGGAGGCAGAGGUAGUGCUUUCGGGAGGUGCUUGAAGCCCUUGAAGAUGAAGUUGGUUGGUGAACAAGCGACGGCAUUGAGGCGGCCAUUGUACGUGGGCGCGGUGCUGCUGCCUGCGUGCUCGCCGCCGCCGUCAUUUCGUCUGCUAUCUUCUACUCGCUCGAAUGCUGGGGCCUCGGGGGGGUUGUGAAUCGCGCGAAUUCCCUGUAUGGAUGGGUCCUGGAGGCGAUCUGCUCUGAUCGUCAGGGCGGGUUCACGGCGGCCGGAGCCGCCAUAGCCACGCCGACUGGCGAGGUCGUGGCACUUUUUCACAAAGUCCCAUCGCGAUCCAAAUUAGGGGGGUUUGUGUAAAUAAUAUUCACAAUAUUUUACUUUAACCCCCUAUCAGGCCAUGACUUUUUCCAACAUAGUCCUCCAAUGCGCUGGCGUCGUCCACGCUCUCUCCCCGUCCCCGAUGGAUCCCGGUCCCCGUCCGGCGACGGCGACGGCUGCCUUGCCGUUGAGGAUAGGAUUCUUCUCCUCCUGGGUUGUCUCUUCCCGGUGACGAAGAGAAGCGGCGCGGCAGAAGGAAGACGAGAGGUUCCGUUCCGGAAGAUGGCGGUGGGCGACCUGGCUACGGCGUCUCUAGUCUACCUCGCCGCCGCCGCAGACCUCUCAUGGCACGCCGAGCAAUCCGCUGAAUUCGAUCGAACUGAUGCUCAUGUUGCAAAAGCAACAGAUACUUGAUGUGAAUUACGGCAUUCAGCAGUGGAUCUACAGAUAAUUGGUUCGGAUAGCGGUUGUUGGUCAGAUUGGAUGUCAGUGUACACUGCAGAAGCUUUGAGUUAGUUUUGGAUGCCAUUGCCAAAUGUCGGGGAAAAGAAGGAGCUUGGAAAAUUGGAAGUGGAUCCUAAAUGUCCUGCUUGUGCGAGAUUUGUUCGAUGAUGGUGCCAGACUGGAGUAGUAUCUAUUGUCAAAAGGCUAACGGUACUUCAAGAAUCCACCUGCUUACAGCUUGAGGAGUGUGGCGAAGCGGUUUUCAGAACUGUGCAGCUUGAAGGUGGCCGGGGGUUUGUGCGUGAUCAAGAAGCCCAAAUUGUUGCUGGGGGUUCAGGAGCUCUCAGUUUCUACCAUGUUUAUGGUGCUCUCCAAAUUGAAGCUACCACUAUGAGUCAUGCGAUCUCCAGAGCUGCAGAACUGGGAGUAAUUUGGAAACUGAUGAUGCAACUGUUCUGAAACCGGAUGUUACAGCCAACAAUUUCAACCUGACGGUGCACAGGGUACUAUUUGGCGAGGGUGAAGGGAAAAUUAGGCUUGUAUUAGUGAGCUGUCUUUUUAUUGAACUUGUAAGAAUGUUGCUGAUGCCACUGCUGCUCAUGAUAUGCAGCUGGGGGCUUCGAGUAAUGUAUUCUGGCUCAACGCCUUCUCUGAAUUUGUUACUAUGUCCUUUGCUAGCACUGCCAAGCUUGUCAUUGUAAUGGAAGUAACGUGUUCAAUAAAUAAAAUUUGAAAACCA
Molecule: long non-coding RNA, 1715 nt
Organism: Setaria italica (foxtail millet)
Lineage: Eukaryota; Viridiplantae; Streptophyta; Magnoliopsida; Poales; Poaceae
Exons: 4
Source: RefSeq, a predicted model, not a curated record